AUGCGUCCCUCGGCGGCGGGCAGGCUCCUCUUGGCCUGCAGCCUUGCUUUCAUGCCCUUCUUCACAGUCUCCUGGGAGAUUAAGAUGAGUGACCUAGAGGAGAAGGAUGUUGAUGAAUUCAGCUCCAGUGGUUUUAAGUGCCCAACAUGCUUUGCAGUGCAAGGAAGGAAAUGUGAUACAGAACUCAAAUGGUGUGCAGCAGGUAAAGUGUAUUGAAGUCUCUGGCAUCAUAAACACAGGUAUUCGUGACGUAGCCGUUGAAAUGAAGAGAUGCAUACAAGCAGACCUAUGCAAAGAGACGAUAACUUCUUAG
This 313-nucleotide small RNA is filed under the name Pongo abelii (Sumatran orangutan). RNAcentral's name for it is "transcribed unitary pseudogene". The record is from RNAcentral. Lineage: Eukaryota; Metazoa; Chordata; Mammalia; Primates; Hominidae.